This is a long non-coding RNA of Physeter macrocephalus (sperm whale), 882 nucleotides long. RefSeq lists it as uncharacterized. The record is from RefSeq and is a predicted model, not a curated record. NCBI's taxonomy places the organism in Eukaryota, Metazoa, Chordata, Mammalia, Artiodactyla, Physeteridae. The transcript is spliced from 5 exons.
GGCCUGCAGUACGGUGAAACGAUUUCAGAAAUUGGAGCUUAGAGUGCGGUGGUGAAAACCUGGACGUGGGGAACACGCCGCCGGGCCGCCACGUGUCCCGAGUCGUGGUGGCGGCCGGCUUCGAGCUUAGGCGUGCGGAGGCGGCCGCUGGUGGCCGCGGCGCUGCGCGCGGCCUGGUUGUUGCGCCCGGGCAGCCGCUGACUGAGCCUGGGAGGCGGCCGGCAGAAGACAACAUUCCUGGGAUUUGGGGGCGGGGGGUUACCCUUAACGUUAAGAGCGAGAGGCCUGUGAUAGGGUGUCUUUCUCCCAUGGCCAGAUCAACAGUUAUUUCCAAACGGGCAGCCCCUGACUCGGCGUGAGACAGUUGUAUUGUGCCCAGGUGGCGCUGUGUGCAAAUAGCAUUAUUGCAGGGGAGGAGUUUAGUGCUGAAAACCUUGAACUAUGACAUUCUGUGAGACUGCUUAACUUUAAAUAGAUGCCCCGCAAGAACAAUGGCUUUCGGCGUAACGGAGCUGUUAUGUGGAGAGACUGAGAGGCAAAGGAAAGUUCCAAAACGUAUGGGAGAAGGUUUGCUGGAAAAUGACUUGGUUAAAACCUGACAAUCUUACCAGCAUCCUGCAGGUCGAUGAACAUUAAUGAAGCUAUGACCGUCACCGAUUGAUGAUGAACAGCUUCAUUUGAAAAGACAGGGGUCGCUGUCUGCCUAUUGAAAGAGGCCAGUUUGCCAUGAAGUUCCUAAGGUGUAAACAUGUCUGGUUAGUGCCACGAGAUUUACUUGUCUGUUGUAUGAAAAACUGGUGAUCAGGAAAAGCUCUUCAUUUUAUGGACACGGAAAGAAAACAAAACUCAAGACAGAUUAUUUAUUUUUAAUUUUGAAAUUGC